AUUGGCUACCAUACCACGUUGAAAGCACCGGUUCUUGUCCGAUCACCGAAGUUAAGCAACCUUGGGCUCGGUUAGUACUUUCAAUGGUGACCGGCUGGGAAUACCGGGUGUUUCCGGCU
This 119-nucleotide ribosomal RNA is filed under the name Trichobilharzia regenti. Lineage: Eukaryota; Metazoa; Platyhelminthes; Trematoda; Strigeidida; Schistosomatidae. The record is from RNAcentral.